GAUGAACGCUAGCGGCAGGCCUAACACAUGCAAGUCGAGGGAGAAGCCUUCGGGGCAGAAACCGGCGCACGGGUGCGUAACGCGUAUGCAACCUACCUUUCACAGGGGGAUAGCCCGAAGAAAUUUGGAUUAAUACCCCAUAAUAUUAUUGGGUGGCAUCAUUUGAUAAUUAAAAUUACGAUGGUGAAAGAUGGGCAUGCGUCCUAUUAGCUAGUUGGAGUGGUAACGGCACCCCAAGGCUACGAUAGGUAGGGGUCCUGAGAGGGAGAUCCCCCACACUGGUACUGAGACAGGGACCAGACUCCUACGGGAGGCAGCAGUGAGGAAUAUUGGUCAAUGGUCGGAAGACUGAACCAGCCAUGCCGCGUGCAGGAAGAAUGCCUUAUGGGUUGUAAACUGCUUUUAUAUGGGAAGAAUAAGGAGUACGUGUACUUUGAUGACGUACCAUAUGAAU
RNAcentral lists this ribosomal RNA (454 nucleotides) under Capnocytophaga granulosa. Its description in RNAcentral is "bacterial SSU rRNA". It matches the Rfam family "Bacterial small subunit ribosomal RNA", at positions 28 to 487 of the family's 1533-position model. Lineage: Bacteria; Pseudomonadati; Bacteroidota; Flavobacteriia; Flavobacteriales; Flavobacteriaceae. The record is from RNAcentral.